Non-coding RNA from Electrophorus electricus (electric eel), 1352 nucleotides. NCBI's taxonomy places the organism in Eukaryota, Metazoa, Chordata, Actinopteri, Gymnotiformes, Gymnotidae. The record is from RefSeq and is a predicted model, not a curated record.
UUCAAUACUUUUUCCCUGUGUCAUUUCUCAUUAUUACACAUAAUUUACGGACGUCUAUGGUUUGAUUUCUUUGCAUUUACUUGGUGGUGUGUUCAAUACUUACUUCACCCGCUGUGUGUGUGUACACACACAUAUAUAUAUUACACACAUACAUAUACAUACAUAUAAAUCAAUAAAUAAUCAAUAUUAAUCACUGGCAGACCCAUCAUACGUGAGGUUCCAUACACAUCAGAACUGUAAGACAACUUCCAUGCCAUACAUUCACAUAGUAUAGCAUCACACACAUUAUUACGACGGAGCACUGCCACUCUCUGCCCUAAUGAGGGUAGUGGCAGUUUGUGUCAUACAAGCAUGCAGUGUACAAAGUAGUACUUUCUUUUCAGUUUGAUAGUUGAGGAUUUAAUAUCUUCCUAAUGGAUCAAGUUAACAGAAAAUCACACCAUUCGUGUGCUCUGUAGGUCAGAGAAAUGCAAAAGUGCUUGUGUAAAACUCCUCCUGCUCGUGAGGUCAGCCACACCACACGGGGCUUGCAGCACUAAUAGUGUCAUGAACACCAAGCUGCAGUGGGUGGUAGUGAGGUACCUGUCUGAGUGUUGGGGCCAGUGUUCUCACUUCAGUUUAAGAAACACACAAACUGCCAGUCUACUGGUUACCGCCAGGAACUGGACGGUAUGUUGAUCAAAACAGUUUCAGUGUGCUGAAAGCCCUGCCCACGUCCAGAAGUAGAUGACCUGCCUGGAUGAACAGGGCUUCUCACGGAUCACAGAGGGUCUCUGUCAGUCUCUAAAAUCUUGCACCAGCCCAAACCCCCUGAAACCAUGAGCGCGUACAUCUGACAUGGGUUUGUUGUUGUUUAUUUGUUUUUAAACUCUUGAGUACUCUCCCAGCUCCACCAGUACAUAAACCCGACCCGAGGGCCAGGAAAGCAGCCCGUAUCGGUAACAGAAGAAAAGUGUGAACUUGAAACGUUAGUGAAGACACACGUGCUAGUCACAAAGUGAUGACGAGGCCAAGAUCUUCACCAGCGAACCCACACAACGUUCCUUAGAGAAUCACACACACACACACACACACACACACACACACACACACACACACACACACACGAGAGUCCACGCGCAUGCCGCCUCCCUGGAUUCAAACAGUGACAUCAGGCCUGGUCCCGCCCCAGUAAGCUUUCAGACCAGCUCAUCACAAACUGCUCUCAUCCAGGAAGACACAGGCCCUUCGGCUCUGUUACACACACCCUGCUGCAAUCCUUCACUAAGCAACACAUCCUUCUGUGAAUAUCUCACACACACACACACACACACACACACACAUCGCUGGCAUCCGACAGAAACCAGCAACCA